This 319-nucleotide small nuclear RNA is filed under the name Tursiops truncatus (common bottlenose dolphin). RNAcentral describes it as "7SK RNA (ENSTTRG00000021542.1)". It matches the Rfam family "7SK RNA". Rfam says of the family: 7SK was discovered as an abundant small nuclear RNA in the mid-70s but a possible function has only recently been suggested. Two independent studies have found that 7SK RNA binds the CDK9/cyclin T complex (known as elongation factor P-TEFb). Lineage: Eukaryota; Metazoa; Chordata; Mammalia; Artiodactyla; Delphinidae. RNAcentral also lists the same sequence under 1 other name. The record is from Rfam by way of RNAcentral.
GGAUGUGAGGUUCAUCUGGCUGUGGACAGCUGUCACCCCAGUGAUCACCAGGGUUGGUUCCGCUGAUCUCGUGGGCUGGGUGGUGUCCCUGUCUCCCUCAUGGCUCCAAGUGUGUCACCCCUGAAGCUGUGCACUGGGUAGAAGAGGAUGACCUUCCCUGAAAGAGGCGGACCUUUCUUCAGUCAAGGUUUCAGGAGUAGCUGCACUCUCCUGCUAGAUCCUCCAAAUGUGCUCUCAAGGGUUAUUUGUAGGAGAACAGGACUCCAGGACUCCAGACACAUCCAAAUGAGGUGCUGCAUGUCGCAGUCUGUCUUUCUUA